This 872-nucleotide long non-coding RNA is filed under the name Rattus norvegicus (Norway rat). RNAcentral describes it as "long non-coding RNA NONRATT011550". Lineage: Eukaryota; Metazoa; Chordata; Mammalia; Rodentia; Muridae. The record is from RNAcentral.
AGCGGCACGCAUACAUUGGAGGGAUGUUUGGAGCUGGGAUUUACUUUGCCGAAAACUCUUCCAAAAGCAAUCAGUAUGUUUAUGGAAUUGGAGGAGGAACAGGCUGCCCCACACACAAAGAUAGGUCAUGUUACGUAUGUCACAGACAAAUGCUUUUCUGUAGAGUGACCCUUGGAAAGUCUUUUCUGCAAUUCAGCACCAUGAAAAUGGCCCAUGCGCCUCCAGGACAUCACUCAGUCAUCGGUAGACCAAGUGUCAAUGGGCUGGCGUAUGCUGAAUAUGUCAUCUACAGAGGGGAACAGAAGGCCGAGUGCAUACUGCCUGGACACCACUGGCUCCUGAGGCUGGAGGAAUUUCUUAGGGAACAAGCACUUGGUGACGAUACCUUGCCCCUAAAGGCGGUCUUCCUUGCAAUACUGGGGGAACAGACCUCUGUGCUUAUCUCUAACCCCCCUUUCCCCAUGCUUUUACCUAGCCGUCUACUGAACAGAUUCUGUACUCUCCUACCAACCGUCUCUCCCCAAUGAGCUCCCUUUUCCAACUGGACAGCCCCGGGACAUCCAUUGACUUUUUUUUUCCAUUCAGAAAAGUCCUCUGCCUCAAAAAAAAAAAAAAGUUUCUCUUGUUCUUCUACCUCAAAGUUGGUACCUUUCCCCCACACCCUGCUAUUAUGAGAGUUCAGGAGAUUGUUAAGAGGCCUAGGUUGGGUAAUCCAACCAGUUCCAGUAACGGGAAGGUACAGGUAAGUCCUGACCAUUCAAUGUGCUGUUAGAGCAGCAAGACUUAGACAGUCAGUCCUACCUUGAUUCCCUCCCCGACGUUGUUUCCCUCCACAUUUAUUCCUCUGAAUGAAACACUCUUUUCCAAAUCCU